This 361-nucleotide ribosomal RNA is filed under the name uncultured bacterium. Its description in RNAcentral is "partial 16S ribosomal RNA". It matches the Rfam family "Bacterial small subunit ribosomal RNA", at positions 338 to 696 of the family's 1533-position model. The record is from RNAcentral.
CCUACGGGUGGCAGCAGUGAGGAAUAUUGGUCAAUGGUCGGGAGACUGAACCAGCCAAGCCGCGUGAAGGAUGAAGGUACACAGUUUCGUAAACCUCUUUUGUCAGGGAACAAAUGCGGGGACGUGUCCACGUAUGAGUGUACCUUAAGAAAAAGCAUCGGCUAACUCCGUUCCAGCAGCCGCGGUAAUACGGAGGGUGCGAGCGUUAGCCGGAUUUAUUGGGUUUAAAGGGGGCUCAGGCGGGGUGGUAAGUCAGGGGUCAAAUGCCGGGGCUCAAACCCCGGCCUGCAGUUGAAAUUGGCAGUCUUGAGUAGGAGAGAGGUAUGUGGAAUGCGCGGUGUAGCGGUGAAAUGCGUAGAUA